AAAAUUUUUAUCUCCUAGAUUUCUCCAACUUUAUAGUGUUAUUGUGUGUGUGUCUCUGUAUGUCUAUAUGUUAAUAUUUUUUGAAGUUUUUAGCUGGCAAUCUGUAAGUACGAUUGGAUGAACCCAAAACUCUAAUAGCCAUAAAUGGAGAGCACCAAAAGCACAGUGAGAUUUACAUGCUUGAUCUUAAAGAAAAAAACUAAGAAGUCUGAGAAAAAUAUUAUCUGUUAGGAAAGAAAUUAUUUCCAUUGGAGUGUAUCCUUUAAAAAAGUAUGUUUAUACUCUCUAUUAAAAUUGUUCAUCACCAAUGCUCUUUGGGAUUGUAUCACCCAGAAAAAGCAAUGCUUAAGGCAAAAGCUUGAAGAUUUUCUUAGCAAGAAAAAAGCACUAUGAUGUUUUCAAAGAAAAUACAGAAUGUUUCUCUAAUAAGCGCAUUAAUAAUUUGCAAAUAUGUUGUCACAUUUAGGGCAACAAUUUAUAGUACAUUUCUCCGUAAGUAUAAGAAUAUCUGCAUUAAUUUAAGGAAAACAUAAAGAAGAAAUAGACUAAGCAAAAUUGCUUGUUGAAACAGUUUUAAAUUUAAGACUUAGUUGAUUCAAUUCUUAUACUGAAUAUGUGUUGACAGCUUUUCAUAAACUAUUCAGUCAUAUUAGUUCACACAUAUGCUCAUAUUUGAAUUCAGCUUAUUGAGUUAUUUUAGGUCUCUUUUUGUUCCUUUUUGUUGCUAUAAACAGGUAGUUGGUUCAUCACUCAAUUCCAUUUUAAAUUUACAUAAGAAAAACUUGCUUAUAAGCAAUUCAGAGUAUUUUACAUGUUAACAUAUAUUACCAUGUCACAGAGUAAACUAUUCAAUUUUAGUCAUUAUCAUCAUCAUUAUCAUUGACACUGCUAGUAGGAUUACUGCUGUAAUGAUUAUUCCUGCCAUUUUUGGAAGGCAUUUUAAAUACUGUGUGUGAGAUAUACACUAGGAAAACUGGUUGCAAGUGUCACAAACAAUUCACACAAGAUUUAGCAGAAGUAAUGCAUACUGAAAGGAUAUCAGUAUUGAGUGAAAUAUACUUGAUUGUGAAGAGCUGAAUCAAGUCUUCACUCUUCCACUUGCUUUCCGUAUGACCUCAGACAAGUUACAUGACCUCUCUGUGCUCCUCUGUAGAGUUGAAAUAUUUAUAUCUCCUACUUCAUAAGGUUAUUGUGACCAGUAAAUAAUUUUUUAAAAAUCUAGAACAAACCCUACUGUUCAGUGACAUCCGAUUGCUUAUAAUACGUUACUGUUGAUAUUGCGAUUGUCCUUAUUAAGGCAUUUCCAAAUCAAAGGGAAAGUAUGCAGGUGGUCCUCAAAAAGGAACGGAGGCUCAAGGAUGAUAUGAAAAAUACAGGAAGCCCUCUCUUUCUGUCUCCCACUCUGUAUCACUCUGCACAUUUAUAGUAAUCUAGUGGAUAUUAUUAUUUCCAUUUUAAAACUGGAAAAUCUAAAGCUUAGAGAGGCAAAAUAUUUUCCCAAGUUCACACAGUAAGUGCCAUAGAUAUGAUUUUUAAAUCCAGUUGAUAUAACUCCAAGUCCAUUAUACUAAAUGCCGUAGUAGACAUUAACUAAGAUUAUGGAAACCAUUUUUAGGUACUGUCAAGUGAUGAUUUAUGUAGUUUUUGAAUUGGUUAAUUUUGAAUAAAUCUAUAAGCACUUACAGGUUCUAUGAUCAGAUCUCCAUAAGUAUAACAUUCAAUUUAUUUGUUUUUUCAGGAAGGGAGAUGGAUUUGCAUCAAUGCAAAUCAUUACCUAAAAUAUACUUCAUUACCUAAAAUAAUGAAGUAUAUGAGGCUUUUGAAACUGAACACACAUUGUCCACUAUAUUAAAACCAUGUGAUCUACCUUAUUAAUCUAAAAAGGCUAGGAUACAGGAAACUGAUAAACUAGUUAAUGAAGGCAUUACCAUCAGAGAAAUAACUGCAACAAAAUGAUUCCUGGCACCAUUGACAAUGGGCAAAAGGAAUGGAAAUAUUAAAAACUAUGAAGUGACCUGUCAGAGUUUUUAAUGAAAAUAAAGAAAAAUAUAAAUUUAGAACUUCUCAGGAGUGGCUCUAGGACAAAUUUUUUUAAAUUUAGUCUUAGGAAAAUAUUGAAAAGGGUGUAAGUCUAGUAGACUCUUUAUGUUCUAGAAGAAGACAUAUGAUUAUAUUAGCCAGAAUACUCCUCGAAGAACAAAAUAGAUACAAAUAGAUUUAUUAUGAGCUAUUGGCUUAUGCAAUUAUAGAAGCUGAAAAGUCCCUGAAUCUACUGUCUGCAAGCUAGAAACCCUGGAAAGCCGGGGUUCUAGAUGUAAGGCCUAACAGCUGGAGGGAUGAUCGUAUAGAUUCCAGAGCCAGAAGGCCUGAGAACCAGGAAUGCCAGGGUAAGAGAUCUAUGUUGCAGCUCAAACAGGAAAGAAUUCAACUUUUCUCUACCUUUUUGUUCUAUUCAGGACUUUGAUGAAUCGAAUGAUGCCUGUCAACAGUGGAGAGGGCCAUCUGCUUUACUCAGCACCAAUUCAAAUGCUAAUCUCUUCCAGAAACACCUACACAGACACACUCAAAAAAUAAUGUUUAACCAGAUAUCUAAGUGUAACUUGGCUCAAUCAAGUCACCACAUAAAAUUUACCAUUACAAUGGAUUUCUCAAUAAUUAUGUCUAAAUCAUUGGAAAAACUUGAAAUCAGCUCAUUUAUUAGAUGGCAGCUUCUUGAUGACACAAGGAAUGAUUCUCACUGAUAUGAUUUGAGGAUUGUGGGGCAAAGACCUUCUCAUGCUUACUUUUUCCCCUGGUGCCUCCUACAGCGAUAGUGAACAAAAUGAAGAUUAGUUACUUUCUGGUUAAUUGUAAAUUACGUUGUGGCAAUUAUAUACUAGAAAUCUUUCUUUUUUUUUUUUUAAGAGAUGGGGGUUUCACUACAUUGCCCAGGUUAAUCUUGAACUCCCGUCCUCAAGCAAUUUUCCAGCUUCAGCCUCUGAGACUGCUAGGAUUAUAGACGUGAGCCACCAUGACUGGUCCAGAACUCGGUUACAAUACAAACUUUAUCAUGCUGAUUGAGUCCAUUUAAGUUAAUACACUUACUGGUUUAGGUUUAAAGAAUUUGGAGGAAGUACAAAUAAAUGAAAAGGAAAGCUAAAAGUAUAUCUUAAAGGAGGACAAGUACCUUGGUUUUUCUAGACUGCUGUAAAAAAUACCAUAGACUGGUUGGCUUAUAAACAAAACAAAUUUAUUUCUCACAGUUCUGGAGGCUAGGAAGCCUAAGAUGAAACCUCCAGCAGAGUCAGUGUCUGAUGAAGACCAGAUCUCUGGUUUGUAGGUGGGACCUUCUGACGGUGUUUUCACAUGGUGGAAGGGAAAUUUGGACGCAAACAUACACAGAAGGAAGAUGAUGUGAAGACCCAGAGAGAAGACAGCCAUCUACAAGCCAAGGAGACAGACCUGGAGCAGGUUCGUCCCUUACAUCCUUGUUUGUCCAUGCCUAGGCUUCCAGUGACCAGAAAUGUAAGAAAAUAAAUAUCUGUUGUUGAAGCCACCCCAUCUGUAGUACAUUGUUACAUCAGCCCUAGCAAAUGAAUGCACCUGGAAUUUAUAGCAACCAUAAUAAUCAAGGGCAGUGGCACCUAGCAACUUGCAUGCAUACAUUUUAGUAGUUUAUGAAUAAAUUAAUCUCUAUCUUAUGAUUGUUCAUCACAGAUGUCUUAUAAUGCACAACUUACUUAUCCUUUCACAAGUAGCAGAAACAGAAGAAUUGACUAUAGAUUUUGAGUGCAUUGCAUAUGAAUAUGUGGUAUUGCUAAAAAUAUUACAGAACAUAAACAAGGAGUUCCACAUCCAGCAUGGGAGUGUUAGAUCCUAUGAUGACACCUGCCCCAGUGAAAUCAGUAAAUAUUACUUAAAAUAGUGACCACUUAAACUUUCUGAAAAUGGCCCUAAGGGCAUACAGCAAGUGAAAAAAACAUUUAUUCAAGAAAAUAUGCAAACAGUUGUUAAGAAAUGCAAAACUCUGUGUUAUUUCAACCAAAAACCCACAGCAUCCCUUCAACUUCCCAGGUCAUUGAGAGAGAAACUCCAUAUCAUCUGCUACAGCCAAAGCAACAGGGUACACUCUCCACCCAAAUCCCAGUCAGAGGAUAAUCUUCCUGAGAGGGACAGUUAUAUAGGAGUUAAUAAGAAAUUACUGGCCAGGUGCAGUGGCUUAUGCCUGUAGUCCCAGCACUUUGGGAGGCUGAGGCAGGCAGAUCAUUAGGUCAAGAGAUCAAGACCAUUCUGGCCAACAUGGUGAAACCCCAUCUCUGCUGAAAAUAC
This 4308-nucleotide long non-coding RNA is filed under the name Homo sapiens (human). Its description in RNAcentral is "HSALNT0056976". Lineage: Eukaryota; Metazoa; Chordata; Mammalia; Primates; Hominidae. The record is from RNAcentral.